Molecule: small nucleolar RNA, 100 nt
Filed under: Dasypus novemcinctus (nine-banded armadillo)
Lineage: Eukaryota; Metazoa; Chordata; Mammalia; Cingulata; Dasypodidae
Description: Small Cajal body specific RNA 15 (ENSDNOG00000030174.1)
Rfam family: Small Cajal body specific RNA 15
About the family: scaRNAs are a specific class of small nuclear RNAs which localise to the Cajal bodies and guide the modification of RNA polymerase II transcribed spliceosomal RNAs U1, U2, U4, U5 and U12. ACA45 belongs to the H/ACA box class of guide RNAs as it has the predicted hairpin-hinge-hairpin-tail structure, the conserved H/ACA-box motifs and is found associated with GAR1.
Source: RNAcentral
AUGGAGAGCUGACUGUGCUUGUAGCUUCCUAUAUGAAAAGGUAGAUAGAACAGGUCUUGUUUGCAAAAUAUAUUCAAGACCUACUUAUCUACCAACAGCA